This 468-nucleotide ribosomal RNA is filed under the name uncultured bacterium. RNAcentral describes it as "partial 16S ribosomal RNA". It matches the Rfam family "Bacterial small subunit ribosomal RNA", at positions 28 to 507 of the family's 1533-position model. The record is from RNAcentral.
GACGAACGCUGGCGGCGUGCUUAACACAUGCAAGUCGAACGGAAAGGCCCUGCUUUUGUGGGGUGCUCGAGUGGCGAACGGGUGAGUAACACGUGAGUAACCUGCCCUUGACUUUGGGAUAACUUCAGGAAACUGGGGCUAAUACCGGAUAGGAGCUCCUGCUGCAUGGUGGGGGUUGGAAAGUUUCGGCGGUUGGGGAUGGACUCGCGGCUUAUCAGCUUGUUGGUGGGGUAGUGGCUUACCAAGGCUUUGACGGGUAGCCGGCCUGAGAGGGUGACCGGCCACAAUGGGACUGAGGUACGGCCCAGACUCCUACGGGAGGCAACAGUGGGGAAUAUUGCACAAUGGGCGGGAGCCUGAUGCAGCAACGCCGCGUGCGGGAUGACGGCCUUCGGGUUGUAAACCGCUUUCGCCUGUGACGAAGCGUGAGUGACGGUAAUGGGUAAAGAAGCACCGGCUAACUACGUG